UGUUAAGAAGUUGUUUUUUUUUUUCUAGAAGGCUCUAUUUGGUUACUAGGGAAUAAAGCUUUUCAAUGCAUACCAUUUCUCUGAAGCACUGCAGUUUUAACUUGUGUUCAUGGAAUUUGAUAGUACAAUUUUGGAUGCUAAAAUCCCUUUGUACUUGUCUAGGUUUGUUUCUUUACCAUGCACAGAAGGUAGUAUAGUUGUCUUCUUUGAAGAUGAUGAAUGCCUAAGAGAUAAUUGCCUAAUAGGAAUCUAGACUUUUAGACCUUACCAAAACAUUAGCCACGUGACAGGUUACCUAGACAUUUUGGAUCCUUUCAGAGGGCCCAAAGUUAUGUUGUAGAUUAGUAGAGUUCAGUGAAGAAAAAGGGUUGGGAAGAUUGAUGUAGUUUAUUGCUUGAGGUGAGUAUGUAACAUCUGUUCCCCGGGAACUGUAGGAGAAAGCUGAGCACGGGGAGGAAAUGCAGGUAUGAAUGGGCAUGCAGAAUUAAUUCAGGACCUCAAGAAGAGCCUGCAACUUUGCAACUCCCCAGGAACAAAAGUGUUUUAAUCUACCGGUGUGUAUAACAUCAUGUUGUGUGGUCCAGUCAGGUAAACCACUACAUCUUUGUAUGUUACAGGAGCAGCUACUUAACUGUAUGUAAAGGAUGUAUUUAAGAGAAAGAGUGAAUUUAGAGACUUCUCCUAACAGUGGAUUCAGAAACUUCUCUGAAGAAUUCGUUAGAUUUUCAUUAUUUCCCAGAAUGCUGAAGGAAGCAUAGGGAUACCAAACAGAAAUGCAAGGAAACCAAUAAAAUCUUUAGUGAAU
Molecule: non-coding RNA, 805 nt
Organism: Taeniopygia guttata (zebra finch)
Lineage: Eukaryota; Metazoa; Chordata; Aves; Passeriformes; Estrildidae
Source: RefSeq, a predicted model, not a curated record